GGGCGUAAAGAGCUCGUAGGUGGUUUGUCGCGUUGUUCGUGAAAUCUCACGGCUUAACUGUGAGCGUGCGGGCGAUACGGGCAGACUUGAGUACUGCAGGGGAGACUGGAAUUCCUGGUGUAGCGGUGGAAUGCGCAGAUAUCAGGAGGAACACCGGUGGCGAAGGCGGGUCUCUGGGCAGUAACUGACGCUGAGGAGCGAAAGCGUGGGGAGCGAACAGGAUUAGAUACCCUGGUAGUCCACGCCGUAAACGGUGGGUACUAGGUGUGGGUUUCCUUCCUUGGGAUCCGUGCCGUAGCUAACGCAUUAAGUACCCCGCCUGGGGAGUACGGCCGCAAGGCUAAAACUCAAAGAAAUUGACGGGGGCCCGCACAAGCGGCGGAGCAUGUGGAUUAAUUCGAUGCAACGCGAAGAACCCUACCUGGGUUUGACAUGCACAGGACGCCGGCAGAGAUGUCGGUUCCCUUGUGGCCCGUGUGCAGGUGGUGCAUGGCUGUCGUCAGCUCGCGUCGUGAGAUGUUGGGCUAAGUCCCGCUACGAGCGCAACCCUUGUCUCAUGUUGCCAGCGGGUAAUGCUGGGGACUCGUGAGAGACUGCCGGGGUCAACUCGGAGGAAGGUGGGGAUGACGUCAAGUCAUCAUGCCCCUUAUGUCCAGGGCUUCACACAUGCUACAAUGGCCGGUACAAAGGGCUGCGAUGCCGCGAGGUUAAGCGAAUCCUUUUAAAGCCGGUCUCAGUUCGGAUCGGGGUCUGCAACUCGACCCCGUGAAGUCGGAGUCGCUAGUAAUCGCAG
RNAcentral lists this ribosomal RNA (793 nucleotides) under uncultured Mycobacterium sp. RNAcentral's name for it is "bacterial SSU rRNA". It matches the Rfam family "Bacterial small subunit ribosomal RNA", at positions 556 to 1347 of the family's 1533-position model. The record is from RNAcentral. Lineage: Bacteria; Bacillati; Actinomycetota; Actinomycetes; Mycobacteriales; Mycobacteriaceae.